This 386-nucleotide long non-coding RNA is filed under the name Ananas comosus (pineapple). Its description in RNAcentral is "long non-coding RNA (ACOM_LNC003469)". Lineage: Eukaryota; Viridiplantae; Streptophyta; Magnoliopsida; Poales; Bromeliaceae. The record is from RNAcentral.
AGGGAUGUUAUAUGGGGCUUAUUUUCCUGAUAUUGUGAAGGAAAAACUUAAAGAUGAUCUGAAGAAAAUCAGAUAGGGAGAUCAAAUUGUUCAGGAGUACACGAGAGAGUUUGUCCGAGUUCUAAACUGUGUACCUUUUGUAGCACGGGAUGAGCGGCAUAAGGCAUAUUUAUUUGAGAGAGGGCUACGGCCAGAUAUUUAUCAGUUUGUAUAACCGCAACAACUUUGGACUUUGGAUGAGGUGAUUGAGAUAGCUUUAUGGGUUGAGAGAGGUACGGUAGUAAUGAAGGAGCAGACUGAAAUAUAGAAAAGGGAGAAGGAGAUGAAGAGACCGGCAGAAAAUAGCAGGGAGUAGUCUGGUUCGAGGAUACCGCCAAAGUAUUCAU